This 64-nucleotide transfer RNA is filed under the name Rhineura floridana. Its description in RNAcentral is "tRNA-Cys". Lineage: Eukaryota; Metazoa; Chordata; Lepidosauria; Squamata; Rhineuridae. The record is from RNAcentral.
AGCCCCGGAGUGUCACACGCCAAAAUGCAAGUUUGGAGAAGCACCCCAUAAGGUGCCGGGGCUU